RNAcentral lists this long non-coding RNA (7452 nucleotides) under Sorghum bicolor (sorghum). Its description in RNAcentral is "long non-coding RNA (SBIC_LNC015744)". Lineage: Eukaryota; Viridiplantae; Streptophyta; Magnoliopsida; Poales; Poaceae. The record is from RNAcentral.
CUCUCUCCCUAUUUUCUAGAUUACAACUAGAACUAACUAGAACUAGAACUAGAGGAACUAGAACUAGAACUAGAUGAACUAGAACUAGAUCUAGAUGAACUAGAGGUAGAACUAGAAGAACUAGAGGGAUCCUCUCUACUUGGAUGAAGAAUUGAAACCCUAGCUUUGAUUCUGUAGAAGAGGUAUGAUCUCCAGGGGCCAGGGGGGUCUGGUUUUAUAGUCCCUUCAAGUGAAUCUGGGCUGUCAGAUCAAACCGACAUUGAUCGCACGGUUUUCCUUGAUCCUUUAGGUCGGUGGAGCAUAAUCCGCGAAACUCGUGCUGAUUGGCCAGCAGAGGAGGGCGGGCGCCCAGGGGGGUAGGGCGGGCGCCCUGCCUCCGGGCCCGCUCGGCCUCCCGUUCGUUCCCGUGGCUUCUGGAGUCUUCGAGAUAGUAGAAAAUUGCGCGGCACGUUAAUAUCUCUAUGUAAACCCGACGUGUGGGCCGUUCCUCCAUAUUUCCUGAUAACCCCCUGCGGAAAUAGACAAACACCAAAACUUAUGGAAUUCUGUCAGAUAAAACCCUAAGUCUAGGUGUUGGUUGCAUUUAGAUCCUUUUCCAUGAUUAGUUGAUGGUUAAAUGUGAGCAUUAAGGACCGUCAACAAGCUCCCCUAAGCUUAACCUUUGCUCGUCCCUGAGCAAAGCUAAAAUCAGCAAGAAAACAGGGGUUACUUUUAUGCCUCUUACUACAGGGUUUUUAAUUUGUCAAUAAGGUCUUAAGUGAUUGAAAAACAGAACGAUCAAGUCAAGCACUAUGUCUCAAGUUCUUCCGUCUUACCUUUGUUCUGGAGUUUUUUUAUAAGUCUGCAAAAUAAAACUGAGGCAUUUGUCUUUUUCUCGAAAGAUUUAUAAGUAGAGCUUUAAAAGUUUUAGCAUACUUACUUUGCAUUUUGCUAUGUCAACGCUCGGAGUAAGGGAGAGGAAUGUCAUACUCCUAGAUCAAGACCUUUGACCUUUUUGAGAAGUUUGUCAUCUCUUACUGGCAUAUUGCUUAUUAGAGGGACCAUGGGCUAUCAUUUUUUUUCAUUUUUUUUCAUUUUUUCUCUCUUUUUUUUAAGUGGGCAGCAAGUACCUCUAAUUCUACUGUCGGACACAUGUCCAUUUUUUUUCACUCAGGUGGGUAUCUUUGUACCCCUAAUUCUACUUCGGACACUUGUCCAUUUUUACCUCUCGUCUCACUUUCUUUUUUUUCGAAUCAAAUUUUUGCAUAGUCCCAUGCCUCUAACGCAAUAAUACUUCGGAAGAGUGAAUCUUUUAUAUUUUUAAAACAAAAAGAUCUUGAUCUUGGGAGCAUGAUAAUUCUCUCAACCAAAACUACAAGAAUUAACAAUGGCUUGAACAAACCAAGUGCCCACAGUUUUAAUAUUUAUAUCUUAUAAGACUCUAGGUAUUAUGAUCUCAUAUAUUUUUUUUUAGAUUUUCAAAAGAUAAAAUCUCCAGAACUCUAGCAAAACAUGGAACAAGUUAAAUAAUAGCUCAGACCUUCUCAUAUCAUGUUUGUCAAUUACCUAGACUUGGAUCAAACUUUCUUUUUAUUUUAUUUAAAACCUAGGAUUACACAAAACUAUUGUAUAUUACUCAAAAGAAAAAAACUUUGUUUGGUUUCAUGGUUAUGCAUUUUUUUUAAAUUUAUUUCCAAAUACUAGUAAAUAAAACCAAUAAAGGAAAGUAAUACUUAUCUAGAUACACGUGGGGGUGCCUCCCCCAAGCUGGAUGUUGACAUAGUCGUUCACUCUUGUGGCCUGCAUGGUUGGUCUCACUCUUCUUAAGCCUCAAAAUCCUGCACAACCCAAAUAGACAACAAAACUUGUGGAGCAUGUUAAGGGUUAGGUAAUUGUCUAGAGCUUAUGAGAGCUUAAUAUGAGAAUUCUAUGAACUCAAUCACAUCAAGUUCCUCUACCAGGUUGUUUUGUGGCUCGAGAUAGAUUUUCAAGCGUUGACCAUUCACCUUAAAAGUGUUACCUAUGUCGUCUUGGAUGGUAAUGGCUCCAUGUGUUGAAGUGUCAAUAACCUUAUAUGGUCCAUCCCACUUACUUCGUAGCUUACCAUGACCAAAGAGCUUAACUCUUGAAUUGAAUAGUAGAACCUUAUCUCCAGGCUUAAACUCCUUGUGCUUGAUUCUCUUAUCAUGCCAUCGUUUUGUUCUCUCUUUAUAGAUCCUUGAAUUGUGGUAGGCUUUCUCUCUCCAUUCUUCUAGCUCAGAUAGUUGCAUCAGACGAUUCUUGCUAGCGAGGUGGAGAUCCAUGUUCCAUUUCUUGAGUGCCCAAUGAGCCUUAAACUCUACUUCCACAGGCAAGUGACAAGUUUUUCCAUAUACAAGUUGAUAAGGUGACAUGCCUAUGGGUGUUUUGAAUGCAGUUCUAUAUGCCCAAAGUGCAUCAGGAAGUUUGUCCUUCCACCCCUUACCCAUCUCAUCUACGGUCUUUUGUAAAAUAUUUUUGAUUUGUUUGUUAGAUGUUUCAGCUUGACCGCUAGUCUGAGGAUGGUAUGGUGUUGCGACGUUGUGUCGAACUCCAUGAUCGGCUAGGUACUUUCGGAAAAUUUUGUCGAUGAAGUGGGAACCUCCAUCGCUUAUAACUAUCCGGGGUAUACCAAAGCGAGGAAAGAUUACUUCAUGGAACAUUCUCUUGGCAUGUUUUGAAUCAGCUGAUCGACAAGGUAGGGCUUCUACCCAUUUGGACACGUAGUUCACAGCUACUAAGAUAUACUCGCAAUUCCCGGACAUAGGGAAUGGCCCCAUGAAAUCAAUGCCCCAUACAUCGAAAAGUUCUACUUGAAGAUUAUUUGUGAGAGGCAUUUCAUUUCGUGAGUUGAUAUUCCCAUGUUUUUGACACCGGUGGCAUCUCCUGACAAAGUCCUUUGUAUCUUCAUACAUCGUUGGCCAGAAAAAACCACUUUGCCAAAUUUUAGCAUGUGUCCGAAAUGCUCCAUAGUGUCCUCCAUAUGGCGAGGCCUGGCAUCUUUCCAUAAUUUGAGUAGCCUCAGCCAUAGGAACACACCUUCUCAAGAGUCCAUCAGCGCAGACUCAGAAAAGAUAUGGCUCAUCCCAAAGGUGGAAACGACUAUCGUGAAGCAACUUCCUUUUGUUUGCACCAGGUGGGACAUAGCCUUUUACUAUAAAGUUUACGAUGUCUGCGUACCAUGGAUCUGCAUGUGUUAUCUUAAGUAGGGUGUCAUCCCUUAGGUAGUCAUUUAUGGGAAGUUCAUCAUGUGUUUCCUUAUACUGAAGCCUAGACAAGUGGUCGGCUAUGGAAUUCUCAACUCCCUUCCUAUCUCGGAUUUCUAUGUCAAAGUCUUGGAGUAGAAGAAUCCAUCGAAUUAGACGAGGCUUAGCAUCUUUCUUAGUGAGGAGGUACUUGAGAGCAGCAUGGUCUGAAUAGAUGAUUAUCUUUGCCCCCACUAAGUAAGAUCUAAACUUGUCUAUAGCAAAGACAACAGCUAAAAGCUCUUUUUCAGUUGUAGUGUAAUUGAGCUGUGGUCCAGACAAGGUUUUGCUAGCGUAGGAUAUGGCAUAAUGCAUUUUAUCCUUGGUUUGUCCUAAAACGGCACUAACCGCAAAAUCGCUAGCAUCACACAUGAUCUCAAAAGGAAGAUUCCAAUCAGGUGGUUGGAUAAUCGGGGCUGAGAUGAGUGCUUUCUUAAGAGUUUGAAAAGAUUCAUGACACUCAUCACUAAAGAUGAAAGGUGCAUCCUUAGCUAGGAGACUAGUUAGGGGUCUAGCAAUUUGAGAGAAAUUCUUGAUAAAGCGUCUAUAGAACCCUGCAUGUCCCAAAAAGCUACGGAUUCCUUUCACAUUCGUGGGAGGUGGAAGUUUUUCAAUAACUUCAAUCUUUGCUUUGUCCACCUCUAUACCACGUUCGGACACUUUAUGUCCUAGCACUAUUCCUUCCUGAACCAUAAAAUGGCAUUUCUCCCAGUUCAGGAUUAAGUGCUUUUCUUCACAUCGCUGCAAGACUCUAUCUAAAUUCUCCAAACAAUGAUCGAAGGUUUUGCCAUAGACGGUAAAAUCAUCCAUGAAAACCUCCAUGAUCUUCUCAAUCAUGUCCGAGAAAAUAGACAUCAUGCACCGUUGGAAAGAAGCUGGAGCAUUGCACAAUCUGAACGACAUUCGUCGGUAUGCAUAAGUUCCAUAUGGGCAUGUAAAGGUAGUCUUUUCUUGGUCAUCUGGGUGGAUUGGGAUUUGGUGGUAUCCAGAAUAACCAUCAAGGAAACAAAAGAAACAGUGGUUUGCAAGCCGUUCCAACAUUUCAUCAAUGAAGGGUAACGGAAAGUGAUCUUUCUUUGUAGCCUUAUUGAGUUUUCGAUAGUCAAUACACAUACGCCACCCAGUGACAAUUCGUUGAGGGAUGAGUUCAUUCUUCUCAUUCCUAACGACCGUCAUUCCUCCUUUCUUUGGCACUACUUGGACAGGGCUAACCCACUCACUAUGUGGCACAGGAUAAAUAAUCCCAGCACGAUAGAGUUUGAGGACCUCUUUCUUAACAACCUCUCGCAUAGCAUUGUUAAGUCUCCGUUGUGGUUCCCUUGAAGGUGUAGAAUUGGGAUCAAUAGGGAUACGAUGAGUACAGAGAAUGGGACUAAUGCACGUGAGAUCUUCGAGAGAGUAGCCAAAUGCUGAUCUAUGCCUUUCAAGAACAGUGACAAGUUGUUGUGUUUCAUAAUCGGAAAUCUUGUCACUAAUAAUUACUGGAGUUUUUGGGUUGUUGUGCAAAAAGACAUAUCUGAGGCCAGAAGGAAGAGGUUUUAAUUCUAUCGAAGGAGGUGAAGGUAGUUCAUUUUUGUCUAGCUCAACGGGUUCUACUAACUCUUCUUCUUCUUGAACAAAGUGUUCAUGAUUAAAGAAUGGUUGGGUCAUCUCCUCUUGAGUCACCAUUAAGACCUCCUCAAUAGGAUCUGGGUCAAGUUUGGGUUCCACUAUCGUGUUAAUUGAUCUAACAAGAGGAACAACAAUAGUGGAAUUCCCAACCUUGAAGUCCAAAUGACCUCAUUGUGGUUGUUCAUGUAGAAGUUUUAUGAUUGGUCUACAAAUCAAGAGAGGAAUCUCUGGUAUGUCAAAAAUGUGAAAAUCUAGACAUAUUCCAGAGUCCUUGAUUCUAACAGGAACUGCCCUUAAUACCCCAUGGCUUUCUAGAAUUAAUCUAGAUGGACUUUGUAAAAGUUUUUGAGAUGGGGUUAUGGACUCGUUGGGAUAAAGAGUGCCAGCAAACUCCUUGGAAAUAACAUUUAUCCCAACAUAUGCAUUGUAGUGGACCAUCCUAGGGGACCCUCUAAUUUGGCACAGAAGAAUGGUUGAAGGAGUGAUGAUUCGAGCUAUCUCAAGAGACAGCUCAGCUUCUGUUAGCCAUUCAUAACUCAGAAUAGCCGAAAGGCUUUUGAUGUGUUCUAUGUCAACAGAUUCUACUCUUAGAACAGAUUGAGUGGUCCUUACUAGAGGUCGUGUUUGGAUAGGAAAAUUCGAGGUGUUUCCAUAAUCUUCAAAAAGAUCUUCCUCGAAUUCAAAGGGAUGCUCUAAAGGUGGUGGUUCAUCAUCCCUUAGUUGGUUUUGCAUUCCUUUAUCAGGAGGUUUCUCUACAACCAAAUUAAUGGAUGGGUCAGGUGGAAUUUCUAACUUGGUUGCGAGUUCCUCAUCUUUAAGUUUAAGAUCAGGCUCGACUUCUUUUUCUUCUUCAGGAAACUCAUCAUAAAUGCCUGUGUAAGGGGUAUUUUCAAGGAUUCUUUCUAGGAUAGCUUUCCCCUCAUCUGUGAGUUUGUGUGUGAAUGAGCCUCCUGAAGCAAUGUCGAGGUGAAGAGCAGCUUCCUUGUUUAGACCACGAUAAAAGUGGUAGUAUAGUACAUGGUCAGGCAGGGAAAGGUUUGGACCGGAAUUGGUAAGGCUUGUGAACCUAGCCCAAGCUGCUCCUAAAGUUUCCUUCUCUCCUUGUUUGAAUGUAAGAAUUUCGAUCCUAAGGUCAGCGAUUCGAAAAAGUGGGAAGAAAGCGAGACAAAAGUUGCCCCGAAAUUCAUCCCAACUUCCAUUAACGCCUCCUACAGAAUGAGCAUACCACUUUUUUGCUCUUCCCAAAAGGGAGAACGAAAAUAAUUUCUAUUUAAGGGUGUCUUGUGUCAUGCCGGAAAUAGAUCGGCAAGAGCACAACUGCUCGAAUUCUCUAAGGUGGGUGUAUGGAUCUUCAUCUACUUGCCCAGAGAAGGGUUGCUCCUGAAUCAUGGCUAUUAGAUUAGGGCCGAGGUCGUAGCCAUCUGUAAGAAUUGGAAGUGAUGAUGGUGGUGGCUCUAAUAACUCGCCCUUUGGAGCAAAGAAUUUAUAGAUAGGAGUGAAAUCCAUGUGGUGUGGUGAAAAUGGUAAGGUGAGUGUGGUAAAAGGGAAAAGAAAAAGGAUACACAGACGACUUGGUUCGAAACUAGCACAGCUACCGUUCCCCAGCAACGGCGCCAGAAAGCUUGUUGGGUAUUUUAAACGCAAACAGAAAAAUCCGCAAGCGCACGGAUACUGAUUUAGCUUUCACCCGGGAGUAUUCCAGAGUAUCGAUUUUCCACAGAGAACGUGAGUGUACUAAUUAAGAAUCAAGAUCACCCAGGGAUAACUAUAUAAUUAUUUUUGGUGGGAAGAGAGGAAGUUUCCUGAGAGUUCUCUAGUUGAUCUAAGAAUCAAGAAUUACUUCAAGAUUAUUUAUUUCGGGACAUCAGAGCACUAACCACAGAAAGAGAUGAGAAGGGGGCUAGGAAGCUUUGACUACGGUCCUACAAACACCGAUCCGAACGAGGUGGAAUACGUCGACCGCUAGGGCUGUCACUACCCUAGGGCUACCACAACAAUCCGCAGGAUUGGGUGCAAUUCCAGGUAAUUGCAAGACUAAACACCACGUCUAAUCUAUUAAUUACUACUCUAAUAUUGCAAAGAUUAGAGCACUUGAUGCAAGCGGGAAUCCAAUAAAUAACUUGAAUGUAAAUAAAAGUAAUUAAACCACUCAGGAUUAUGAAUUGAAGAACCUGGAGAACGAUGAAGAACGAACCAGUUGCUGCAAAAGUACAAUGUUGAGGAAGAUCCGAUAGAUCCGGCUCCUCCUCCUCCUCCGCUCUCCUCUUCUCUCUCCCUAUUUUCUAGAUUACAACUAGAACUAACUAGAACUAGAACUAGAGGAACUAGAACUAGAACUAGAUGAACUAGAACUAGAUCUAGAUGAACUAGAGGUAGAACUAGAAGAACUAGAGGGAUCCUCUCUACUUGGAUGAAGAAUUGAAACCCUAGCUUUGAUUCUGUAGAAGAGGUAUGAUCUCCAGGGGCCAGGGGGGUCUGGUUUUAUAGUCCCUUCAAGUGAAUCUGGGCCGUCAGAUCAAACCGACAUUGAUCGCACGGUUUUCCUUGAUCCUUUAGGUCGGUGGAGCAUAAUCCGCGAAACUCGUGCUGAUUGGCCAGC